GACGAACGCUGGCGGCGUGCUUAACACAUGCAAGUCGAACGGAAAGGCCCUGCUUGCAGGGUGCUCGAGUGGCGAACGGGUGAGUAACACGUGGGUGAUCUGCCCCUUACUUUGGGAUAAGCCUGGGAAACUGGGUCUAAUACUGGCUAGGACCAUGCUGUAGGUGGUGUGGUGGAAAGAUUAGUUUCGGUAAGGGAUGAGCUCGCGGCCUAUCAGCUUGUUGGUGGGGUAAUGGCCUACCAAGGCGUCGACGGGUAGCCGGCCUGAGAGGGUGGACGGCCACAUUGGGACUGAGAUACGGCCCAGACUCCUACGGGAGGCAGCAGUGGGGAAUAGUGCACAAUGGGCGCAAGCCUGAUGCAGCGACGCCGCGUGGGGGAUGACGGCCUUCGGGUUGUAAACUCCUUUCAGCCAUGACGAAGCCCUUGUGGUGACGGUAGUGGUAGAAGAAGCACCGGCUAACUACGUG
Molecule: ribosomal RNA, 469 nt
Filed under: uncultured bacterium
Lineage: Bacteria
Description: partial 16S ribosomal RNA
Rfam family: Bacterial small subunit ribosomal RNA
Source: RNAcentral